UACGUAGGGUGCGAGCGUUGCCCGGAUUUAUUGGGCGUAAAGGGCGCGUAGGCGGUUCCGUACGUCCGUUGUGAAAUCGCUCGGCUCAACUGGGCGGGGUCAGCGGAUACGGUGGCACUUGAGCAAGCUAGGGGGCAAUGGAAUUCCCGGUGUAGUGGUGGAAUGCGUAGAUAUCGGGAGGAACACCAGUGGCGAAGGCGGUUGCCUGGAGCUUUGCUGACGCUGAUGCGCGAAAGCGUGGGGAGCGAUCCGG
Molecule: ribosomal RNA, 253 nt
Filed under: uncultured bacterium
Lineage: Bacteria
Description: partial 16S ribosomal RNA
Rfam family: Bacterial small subunit ribosomal RNA
Source: RNAcentral